GAUGAACGCUAGCGGCAGGCCUAAUACAUGCAAGUCGAACGGUCGUAGCAAUACGAUAGUGGCGCACGGGUGCGUAACGCGUAACCAACCUGCCCUUGACUGGGGGAUAGCCCGCCGAAAGGCGGAUUAAUACCGCAUAAAACCACAGUGUGGCAUCACAUAAAUGGUUAAAAGAUUUAUUGGUCAAGGAUGGGGUUGCGUGACAUUAGCUAGUUGGCGGGGUAAAGGCCCACCAAGGCGACGAUGUCUA
This 250-nucleotide ribosomal RNA is filed under the name uncultured bacterium. RNAcentral's name for it is "partial 16S ribosomal RNA". It matches the Rfam family "Bacterial small subunit ribosomal RNA", at positions 28 to 285 of the family's 1533-position model. The record is from RNAcentral.